CUGAAUUAAAGAGAGUUGAUGCUGGCAGUCUGACUGCAUGUGCUCGUUCUCCUAAUCCACUUACACCUGUGCACUUAAUUUCGAAGGGAGGGUAAAACCUGCCUUUGAAACUCACAAACUCUUAUUAAAAUAACGAAUGUUUAUCUGCCGCAAGGCAAAAUCAAAUA
This 167-nucleotide unclassified non-coding RNA is filed under the name uncultured Cantharellales. RNAcentral describes it as "sequence contains ITS1". Lineage: Eukaryota; Fungi; Basidiomycota; Agaricomycetes; Cantharellales. The record is from RNAcentral.